Long non-coding RNA from Ipomoea nil (Japanese morning glory), 97 nucleotides. RefSeq lists it as uncharacterized. The transcript is spliced from 3 exons. The record is from RefSeq and is a predicted model, not a curated record. Lineage: Eukaryota; Viridiplantae; Streptophyta; Magnoliopsida; Solanales; Convolvulaceae.
CAAAAUUUAGGGGUGUUACAAAGGGUCACAAGGUCGCCGAGUGCCCUCAGCAAGCCAAUCAAAGGGCAUUGCCGCCACCCCCAGGAGCCGGAGGAGC